UGGGGAAUCUUGCGCAAUGGGCGAAAGCCUGACGCAGCAACGCCGCGUGCGGGAAGAAGGCCUUCGGGUUGUAAACCGCUUUCAGCGGGGAAGAAGGCGAGCGGGUUAAUAGCCCGUCAGCUGACGGUACCCGCAGAAGAAGGUCCGGCUAACUACGUGCCAGCAGCCGCGGUAAUACGUAGGGACCGAGCGUUGUCCGGAAUCAUUGGGCGUAAAGAGCGUGUAGGCGGCCAUUUAAGUCCUGCGUGAAAUCCUGCGGCUCAACCGCAGGCGGUCGUGGGAAACUGGAUGGCUAGAGUGCGGGAGAGGAGAGUGGAAUUCCUGGUGUAGCGGUGGAAUGCGCAGAUAUCAGGAAGAACACCCGUGGCGAAGGCGGCUCUCUGGAACGCAACUGACGCUGAGACGCGAAAGCGUGGGGAGCAAACAGGAUUAGAUACCCCCGUAGUCC
Molecule: ribosomal RNA, 448 nt
Filed under: uncultured bacterium
Lineage: Bacteria
Description: bacterial SSU rRNA
Rfam family: Bacterial small subunit ribosomal RNA
Source: RNAcentral